RNAcentral lists this non-coding RNA (27 nucleotides) under Cricetulus griseus (Chinese hamster). Lineage: Eukaryota; Metazoa; Chordata; Mammalia; Rodentia; Cricetidae. The record is from RNAcentral.
CAUUGGACUUCUAGUGACGAAAAAGCC